GAGAGCAAAUUCUAAUUCAAAAAUAAAUACAAUAUUCACAGUAGUGAGAACAAAAAGAAGGUGAAACCAUAGCUUGAUGCCCUGGGGUGGGUAUGGCAACACUAAACAACCUGCAUUGAGAGAGCAAAUUGCCUCACAAAUAUGUAGUAUGAACUAGGGAAGACUGUCGAUUUCAAACACGUGACGGCCAAAUAAGUUGGAAAGUAAUUUGGGAACCUCCAUGUCAAUUUGGCUUUAGGCAAGCGAUGCUAAAAAUUCACAUAAUAAUUUUAGCUUCCCAUAAGCUGAAGACAGUUUGGCCACGACGAGAUUUCAGCUGCAAUUUGGUCAACAGACACUUUCAAUUCUCCAUUACCUUUUCCUACUCUGUCCAGCUCCCAAUCGUAGAAUCCAACAAUUCCAUCACCUUUUUAACACCCUCACUAUUAGCAUCACCAAAAUAACUGCGCAAAGCCUCAUCCAACCUAACUGCCUCCCAUACCCUAGCCUCUCUCAACAAGCUCCUAUAAACCCUUCUCCUUAAUCCAGAACCAGGCACAAAACCCACACCCACCAUAUCCCUCAAAACCCUGAAAGCCUCAAGAAUCAACCCACAUUCGCAAAACCCAUUAACCAAAAGCUUAUACACAAUCUUUUCCACUUUACAUGGAAAGCCAGGCCUGAGCAUCCAUUGGUACACUUUGUAGGCUUCUUUGGGUCUCUUCUUUUUGACAUAUGAGCUAACGAGCAUGACAGUGAUGCGAGUGAGAUGAGGAUGGGCUUGUGGGGUGUGUCUAAGAAUGGUAAGAAGUGACAUGGAUUUGGUCAUGUCAGGUUGGGAAGUGAGGGAAUGAAUCAGAAUGGAGAAAGAUAUGGAUUUGUAAGGUGGAUUUGUGAGAAGGGCAGUAGCAGUUAGGUGGAUUGCUGUGCUUAGAUGGUCAGAAAGGCAUAGGCGAGGGAUCAAAAGAUUGAUUUUAGUUAGCUCUUGUUGUGUUAGCGCUAGUUUUGAAUUGGUGGGUUUCUCAAUUUCACUCGAUGAUGAUGAUGAUGAUGCAUAGGCUUGUUGAAGUAGAGGAGAGAUGAUAAUCGAUUUCUCUGACGGAUGAGAGAAAAAUUGAAGGCGGCGUUGUGCUUGUUUGAGGGAUUGCAUUUUCAAAUUUUUCAC
Molecule: unclassified non-coding RNA, 1144 nt
Filed under: Hevea brasiliensis (rubber tree)
Lineage: Eukaryota; Viridiplantae; Streptophyta; Magnoliopsida; Malpighiales; Euphorbiaceae
Source: RNAcentral